Non-coding RNA from Mycena rosella, 93 nucleotides. NCBI's taxonomy places the organism in Eukaryota, Fungi, Basidiomycota, Agaricomycetes, Agaricales, Mycenaceae. The record is from the annotation of a GenBank genome assembly.
GGCUCGGUAGUGGAGGGUCCGCAUCUGCUUUCAAUGAUUGUUUCCCAUAGCACUAUGCAGCAGAGUAAGCCUGUUCGACUCAGGCCCGAGCCA